This 440-nucleotide ribosomal RNA is filed under the name uncultured bacterium. Its description in RNAcentral is "partial 16S ribosomal RNA". It matches the Rfam family "Bacterial small subunit ribosomal RNA", at positions 338 to 795 of the family's 1533-position model. The record is from RNAcentral.
CCUACGGGGGGCAGCAGUGGGGAAUAUUGCACAAUGGGGGAAACCCUGAUGCAGCGACGCCGCGUGAGUGAAGAAGUAAUUCGUUAUGUAAAGCUCUAUCAGCAGGGAAGAAAAUGACGGUAUAUGAGUAAGAAGCGCCGGCUAACUAUGUGCCCGCGGCCGCGGUAAUAUGCAGGGGGCAAGCGUUAUCCGGAUUUACUGGGUGUAAAGGGAGCGUAGACGGGAGUGCAAGUCUGGAGUGAAAGGCGGGGGCUCAACCCCCGGACUGCUCUGGAAAAUAUACGGCUGGAGUACAGGAGAGGUAAGUGGAAUUCCUGGUGUAGCGGUGAAAUGCGUAGAUAUUAGGAGGAACACCAGUGGCGAAGGCGGCUUACUGGACGGUAACUGACGGUGAGGCGCGAAAGCGUGGGGAGCAAACAGGAUUAGAUACCCUUGUAGUC